Molecule: ribosomal RNA, 253 nt
Filed under: uncultured bacterium
Lineage: Bacteria
Description: partial 16S ribosomal RNA
Rfam family: Bacterial small subunit ribosomal RNA
Source: RNAcentral
UACAGAGGAGCCAAGCGUUGUCCGGAUUGACUGGGCGUAAAGCGCACGCAGGCGGUCGGGCGCGUGGGGGGUGAAAUCUGGCCGCUUAACGGCCAGGCGCCAUCCCAUACGGCACGACUGGAGGGCUGCAGAGGUCGAUGGAAUUGCCGGUGUAGUGGUGAAAUGCGUAGAGAUCGGCAGGAACACCCAGGGGGAAACCAGUCGACUGGGCAGCACCUGACGCUGAGGUGCGAGAGCGUGGGGAGCGAACCGG